GUUAUUUCUUGGCCUUUUGGCUAAGAUCAAGUGUAGCUUCUAGUGACCCAGAAUCAGGGCAUGGCCAGCACAGUAAGCUACACAAAUAUGUGAAUGGUUCAGCAAUUGCUCACAAUGGCUCUUUGGAUUGCUUUAGUAAUAUAUAUUGAACUGUUUCAGGAUUAUUACUACUUAUA
This is a non-coding RNA of Podarcis lilfordi (Lilford's wall lizard), 176 nucleotides long. The record is from the annotation of a GenBank genome assembly. NCBI's taxonomy places the organism in Eukaryota, Metazoa, Chordata, Lepidosauria, Squamata, Lacertidae.